GACGAACGCUGGCGGCGUGCUUAACACAUGCAAGUCGAACGGAAAGGCCCUGCUUGCAGGGUACUCGAGUGGCGAACGGGUGAGUAACACGUGGGUGAUCUGCCCUGCACUUCGGGAUAAGCCUGGGAAACUGGGUCUAAUACCGGGUAGGAGCCAUUUUUAGUGUGAUGGUUGGAAAGUUUUUUCGGUGUAGGAUGAGCUCGCGGCCUAUCAGCUUGUUGGUGGGGUAAUGGCCUACCAAGGCGGCGACGGGUAGCCGGCCUGAGAGGGUGGACGGCCACAUUGGGACUGAGAUACGGCCCAGACUCCUACGGGAGGCAGCAGUGGGGAAUAUUGCACAAUGGGCGCAAGCCGGAUGCAGCGACGCCGCGUGGGGGAUGACGGCCUUCGGGUUGUAAACUCCUUUCGCUAGGGACGAAGCUUUUUGUGACGGUACCUAGAUAAGAAGCACCGGCUAACUACGUG
This 465-nucleotide ribosomal RNA is filed under the name uncultured bacterium. RNAcentral describes it as "partial 16S ribosomal RNA". It matches the Rfam family "Bacterial small subunit ribosomal RNA", at positions 28 to 507 of the family's 1533-position model. The record is from RNAcentral.